This 21-nucleotide microRNA is filed under the name Picea abies (Norway spruce). RNAcentral's name for it is "pab-miR11571". Lineage: Eukaryota; Viridiplantae; Streptophyta; Pinopsida; Pinales; Pinaceae. The record is from miRBase by way of RNAcentral.
UUGGAUUUCAGUUCCCUCAUC